AAAAAAAGAACAAGGAGAGAUGUGGGCAGACAGCGAUGCUAUAUAGAAAGCAGAGGUGACGCGGUUGGGUAAUGGAAAUAGGGCAAACUGGGGAGCUGGGAAAGGAGGAGAACUAAAUUGCUCGAAAUGAGUCUCUCCUGUGUUAUGUCCUGAGCUGCCAUUUCCAUCUGUGUGGAGCGCUGAAUAUAAGCAAAUGGAUUUACACCAAACAGAGAUAGGAGUAAGGGCCUGGCAAGGAAGAGUAAAGCACGGAGCAAUUCUCUUUUCCUUGGAGCCUCGCUUCUGGAAACAUUCCCAGUCCUUGGCGUAUUCAUCAGGAUUGUUACAAUUCUGCUGCCACAAAGAGGGAAGUAUCUUGUUCUCCUGUUAUUUAUUAGCAUAUGCUGCAGUGUGAGGGACCGUGGUGGGGAGGGGAGCCCUGCUGUGAGGGGCACUGGGUAAACACAGCCGAAAUGACAGCAGCAGUCCUCAUCACAGAGCGUUAGCAAUUCUAACAGCCACGUCAGGCAGAGAAUUUGUGAGACGGAUGUAACACAAGCAAAGGAAGAAUGUGGCAGUUUGCAAACAGCGAGUUGCGUGGUUUUUUUGUAGGUGUGUUCAUUCUUGAAGGACCUCGAAAGAAAUGCAAAUGAAAUGUAUGGUGGACAGGUCAAUGUGCAAGCAAGGCCUGUUGGGGCUUCACGUUGGAGAUGUAGAAACUUCUUUGUCUCAUAGAAAGAGAUAGCAAGAGGGCUUUUUGAAAAUGUGAGAAAAGCAUUGGAGGCCUGUUUUUGCCUGAAAGCACAGUGGGAUAGAUCAUGGAGCCUGAGGAGUAGGGAGUCGUGUGCUAUUCUAUUAAUAAAAGCAGAAGGAAGUAGCAGAACAGAAGCAGUGGAGCAAAUCCAAAAGCCAAUGCCCCACCAAACGGGCAAAAAACCUCACCAAACAAAAGCUGAUGAAUUUCCAAGGUAGAAUUUGUUGGCAGACAGACGGGGCUGAUGUUUCCUACAGCAACCAGUUUAAUCCCUCCACUCUGCCAAGGCAAUGCCAAACAAAAGAGAUCUGCUCAACGUUUUCUAUUAGCCUGAAAUUUUGCUGUAGAGAAAAUGAUAACACAGAAGGAAUUUCCUUGGGAAAGAAAAGAGAAAAGGGCUCUGCGGAAUUAUUUUAGUUCAGACAACUGCAAUGCUAAAAAUGAAUUCUGGGGCAGGACAAUAAACGCAUACACGAAUAUUAAUUCUGCUUCCAAUCAUCCAAGGAGUUCAGUCACUGAAGCCCAUUCAUAGUCUGUGUGGUUCCACAGGCUCAGAGGGAUGCUCCAAAAAACUUUGAAAAUCCCAAUCUAAACACGUCUGUGUCCAACUUUCUAAAGACCCUUCUGUGUGGCUGCAAAGAAUAAGUAAUUUCUAUCUGUACCACGUUAUGAAGUCCUCAGGAAGUAGGCACCAGGGCGGUAUAAAAUGGUCAUUUUAGCAGUAUCUUCUCCCACAAUUGCUUGUUCUCCAUCUCCACGGAGGGCGGCUGGCAGCACAGUGCUGCAGUGAUUUAAGCCCACCAGGCUGCGGUGUUGGCUCUGUUGUGAAGCGCCUGAGCCCUGUGCAGGACUUGGCCAUAAACUGCACAGCCCAAGGAAGAUGUUGCUUGUUUUCCAGGACAGGAUGAAAUCACCCCGUGCAUGUCCUCUGUCUAUUGCCUCUCCGGGCAGGGAAAACAUAAAUGCCUUUCCCGUCAUUUUAUUUAUUGCCUUUCUGCGUUUCCUGGGAAAAGCCCAUUUUUAUUCUUUAUCAUGUGUGUGUGUGUCUGUGUGGGGUAAGCGUGUGUGUGUGUGUGUGUGUGUGUGUUUGGGAGGUUAAAAAAAAUUUCUUGCUGUCAGCAAGUGAUGUUACAAACCUGCUCUGACAAGGCUGGUUGUAUAUUUACAGUUGGUGAGAGCGAAGGCUUCAUCAAUCUUCACGCUUUGAAAGGGACAGGCCCGCUCCCAUGAGCACCUGCUCCGGGAGAACAGCUGAACUGUGACUUUCCAGGGAGCUAGCUGUAAAUUUUAGCCAUUCCCCCCACAGCCCACGCAUGCUUGAGCUCUUUAACCUUCCCAGGCUGGCAGGAGUCCCAGCAAUCAGUUUAGUGCAAAGACUGGGGUUCUUUUUAAUUAACCUUUUGUUUCCCACUGCAGGUGUUUCGAAGUUUCUUAACGUUAAAAAGGAAGAGGAAAAAAACUGUUUGCAGAGGUGCAUCCACUCUCUUCCGCUCUUGCUAUGCUCGGUGAUCAAAUGGGACCGGUCUUUCUCAUCUUUCUGCUCCUCAUUUGCCUCCUGCAUUUCUGCCACCCUUUGAAUUCUCCCAUCUUAAGUGGUGUGUUGCCUGCCUGGGAGCUCCUGCAGCCCUGCCUGUGUGAACAAGGAUGUGAUAAUACUGGGUCCUGAAGCUGCAAAUGCAGAACAAACCAAGGAGUAAAAGAACUGACAAGACAAGCAGUGGUGGGAAAUGGAGGGAAGGCUGUGAAAAAGGUUAUAAUAAAUAAUAAGAAAUGUUGCAUGGGCCAAAGGAAUAAUAGAUCAGCGAUGGAAAGACUCUAAAAGCUGCUGAGGGUUAUUUAUUGAUGGACAUUGUUUAAAAAAAAAAAAUCAGUGACAGUUUUCCUUCGUGUUCACAAAGGCAGAUGGCAGGGCAGGUGCCAGAAUGAAAGAUAAAUUUCCUUUUGCAUAAAGAAGAAAUAUUGAAGGAAACUGAGCAGAGGUGAUGGAGAAAUUAGAGCGUUGAAAGACCCUGAAAGCAUGCGGUCCAUGUCAGCCCUCUCUCAGGAUUUUCACCUGAGUCAGCAGAAAGCAGGAAAAACUGUUGCGGGAAAUGAGAACCUCUUUGAAGACCAGUAAUGGAGAGGUUCCUGCAAGUGUCAUGUCCAGAGGUCUGAGGAAGGCUUUCCAGGAAUUAAAAUUGGUGGUGCAGAAGGUACCUCGUGUGGCUGAGUGGCCAAUGUGCAUCAUAAUCUAGGACUGCAGUAGAGAAAUAGGAGAAGUUAUGAAUGUAAGUAAGGGAAACCAUCAAAGAUUCAGAAAUUGGAAGCUGGACCGGUAACAGGAAAACUGAUGGAGGGUUUGUGAGGAGUUUGUGCAAAUCAUGAGCCAGGGAGAGCCAAGAGAUACAACUUGUGCAGUGGCAGCGAAGGUUGGGUGUAACAGAGUCAAGAUAAUGGAGGGGAAGUGAUGAGUGUGGGACAUGGAAAUGCCUGAUGGAGCUCUGAGCUGGUGGUACACACAGCUGCUGUGAGGAUGCAUUGGUUUCUGUUGCCCUGACUGUGAGUGGGGAGGUUGGGGAGUCUAUGGGGGGGUCUGAGGGCACUAGGGGAGGCGUUACAGAGUGAAUGUAACUGAGGUACAAAAGAGGCAUGAGGAAGGGAACAAACCCUGCAGGAUCCGAGGGCACCUGGCCUGGCUGGAGAACCUGCAGGGUGGGUCCAACCCAAGGCCAACAGCUGUGCUUCUGCAACAUGUGCUAGGGAGCUCUAAUUAACAGCUCUCCAAUCAUCCCUUUGCCAACCUUGCUUAUCUGAAAGUGGAGUUUGUUUUUUGGGGGAGAAAACAGCAUCACUGUGGGUCCUUCCCAAUGGCCAUUCAUCCGAUAUCCAAACAGCAUUAAAUCACUCAUCGUGUUGCUCACGGUCAGCAGGUAACGGGGGCUGGCAGGAAGGAUCUGCGGGCUCUGCUUACUGCGUGUCCUCGUGUCUUUGUUUCAGGAAAGCCGCCUGCCCUACAGCAGAGGAGCGCGGCAGCCUGGAUCCACGUUUGCACACACAAACCCCACCGCGUCGGAUGAAACCCCUCACAAAGUCCCAUCAGGUGAUGGCCACGACGGGGUUACGUGGGGGCCUUCAUCAGAGCUCAGCUGGGGGUCUGCAGUGUAAAGAGGGGACGAGGAGGGAGGUUCUCCAGCACGGCAGAGCUCCCGCUGCCCGAGGGCUGCCCGGCCCGCCUCAGACCUCAAACAGAAGGAAGCGAGGAAAGGACGACGGAACGCGUCCCCUCGGAAGUAGGGCAUGCCCGCCGCAGGGCUGCUCCCCGACGGCCGCAGCAGCAAAGCGCUCGGGUUCCGCCUCGCGCAUCGCUCGAGCCGCGCGCUGCGCUCCGCG
Molecule: non-coding RNA, 4102 nt
Organism: Meleagris gallopavo (turkey)
Lineage: Eukaryota; Metazoa; Chordata; Aves; Galliformes; Phasianidae
Source: RefSeq, a predicted model, not a curated record